GAUGAACGCUAGCUACAGGCUUAACACAUGCAAGUAGAGGGCCCGGCGCACGCGUGAGUAAAACGUAUCAAUCAUGCCCUUUCCUCGGGGAUAGCCUUUCGCAAGAAAGAUUAAUACCCGAUAUGUAGGAUGGGCAUGCGUUCCAUUAGGUUGUUGGUGAGGUAAGGGAUCACCAAGCCUUAGAUGGAUACGGGUUCUGAGAGGAAGGUCCCCGACAUUGGAACUGGGACACGGGUCAAACUCCUACCGGAAGCAGCAGUGAGGAAUAUUGGUCAAUGGGUGGUAGCCUGAACCAACCAAGUAGCGUGAAGGAUGAAGGCUUAUGGGUCUUAAACUUCUUUUAUAUAAGAAUAUGUAUUAUAUGAAUAAGGAUCGGCUAACUCCGUGCCAGCAGCCGCGGUAAUUC
This 406-nucleotide ribosomal RNA is filed under the name uncultured bacterium. RNAcentral describes it as "partial 16S ribosomal RNA". It matches the Rfam family "Bacterial small subunit ribosomal RNA", at positions 28 to 526 of the family's 1533-position model. The record is from RNAcentral.